This 1421-nucleotide ribosomal RNA is filed under the name uncultured bacterium. RNAcentral describes it as "bacterial SSU rRNA". It matches the Rfam family "Bacterial small subunit ribosomal RNA". The record is from RNAcentral.
AGAGUUUGAUCCUGGCUCAGGACGAACGCUGGCGGCGUGCCUAAUACAUGCAAGUCGAACGCUUCUUUUUCCACCGGAGCUUGCUCCACCGGAAAAAGAGGAGUGGCGAACGGGUGAGUAACACGUGGGUAACCUGCCCAUCAGAAGGGGAUAACACUUGGAAACAGGUGCUAAUACCGUAUAACAAUCGAAACCGCAUGGUUUUGAUUUGAAAGGCGCUUUCGGGUGUCGCUGAUGGAUGGACCCGCGGUGCAUUAGCUAGUUGGUGAGGUAACGGCUCACCAAGGCGACGAUGCAUAGCCGACCUGAGAGGGUGAUCGGCCACAUUGGGACUGAGACACGGCCCAAACUCCUACGGGAGGCAGCAGUAGGGAAUCUUCGGCAAUGGACGAAAGUCUGACCGAGCAACGCCGCGUGAGUGAAGAAGGUUUUCGGAUCGUAAAACUCUGUUGUUAGAGAAGAACAAGGAUGAGAGUAACUGUUCAUCCCUUGACGGUAUCUAACCAGAAAGCCACGGCUAACUACGUGCCAGCAGCCGCGGUAAUACGUAGGUGGCAAGCGUUGUCCGGAUUUAUUGGGCGUAAAGCGAGCGCAGGCGGUUUCUUAAGUCUGAUGUGAAAGCCCCCGGCUCAACCGGGGAGGGUCAUUGGAAACUGGGAGACUUGAGUGCAGAAGAGGAGAGUGGAAUUCCAUGUGUAGCGGUGAAAUGCGUAGAUAUAUGGAGGAACACCAGUGGCGAAGGCGGCUCUCUGGUCUGUAACUGACGCUGAGGCUCGAAAGCGUGGGGAGCAAAACAGGAUUAGAUACCCUGGUAGUCCACGCCGUAAACGAUGAGUGCUAAGUGUUGGAGGGUUUCCGCCCUUCAGUGCUGCAGCUAACGCAUUAAGCACUCCGCCUGGGGAGUACGACCGCAAGGUUGAAACUCAAAGGAAUUGACGGGGGCCCGCACAAGCGGUGGAGCAUGUGGUUUAAUUCGAAGCAACGCGAAGAACCUUACCAGGUCUUGACAUCCUUUGACCACUCUAGAGAUAGAGCUUCCCCUUCGGGGGCAAAGUGACAGGUGGUGCAUGGUUGUCGUCAGCUCGUGUCGUGAGAUGUUGGGUUAAGUCCCGCAACGAGCGCAACCCUUAUUGUUAGUUGCCAUCAUUUAGUUGGGCACUCUAGCAAGACUGCCGGUGACAAACCGGAGGAAGGUGGGGAUGACGUCAAAUCAUCAUGCCCCUUAUGACCUGGGCUACACACGUGCUACAAUGGGAAGUACAACGAGUCGCAAAGUCGCGAGGCUAAGCUAAUCUCUUAAAGCUUCUCUCAGUUCGGAUUGUAGGCUGCAACUCGCCUACAUGAAGCCGGAAUCGCUAGUAAUCGCGGAUCAGCACGCCGCGGUGAAUACGUUCCCGGGCCUUGCACACAACGCCCGUCAA